GGGAUAACGUAGCGAAGGUUACGCUAAUACCGCAUACGAUCCAAGGAUGAAAGCAGGGGAUCUUCGGACCUUGUGCUCCUGGAGCGGCCGAUAUCUGAUUAGCUAGUUGGUGAGGUAAAGGCUCACCAAGGCGACGAUCAGUAGCUGGUCUGAGAGGACGACCAGCCACACUGGAACUGAGACACGGUCCAGACUCCUACGGGAGGCAGCAGUGGGGAAUUUUGGACAAUGGGCGCAAGCCUGAUCCAGCAAUGCCGCGUGAGUGAAGAAGGCCUUCGGGUUGUAAAGCUCUUUUGUCAGGGAAGAAACGGGAGUGGCUAAUAUCCAUUCCUAAUGACGGUACCUGAAGAAUAAGCACCGGCUAACUACGUGCCAGCAGCCGCGGUAAUACGUAGGGUGCAAGCGUUAAUCGGAAUUACUGGGCGUAAAGCGUGCGCAGGCGGUUUUGUAAGUCUGUCGUGAAAUCCCCGGGCUCAACCUGGGAAUUGCGAUGGAGACUGCAAGGCUAGAAUCUGGCAGAGGGGGGUAGAAUUCCACGUGUAGCAGUGAAAUGCGUAGAGAUGUGGAGGAACACCGAUGGCGAAGGCAGCCCCCUGGGUCAAGAUUGACGCUCAUGCACGAAAGCGUGGGGAGCAAACAGGAUUAGAUACCCUGGUAGUCCACGCCCUAAACGAUGUCUACUAGUUGUCGGGUUUUAAUUAACUUGGUAACGCAGCUAACGCGUGAAGUAGACCGCCUGGGGAGUACGGUCGCAAGAUUAAAACUCAAAGGAAUUGACGGGGACCCGCACAAGCGGUGGAUGAUGUGGAUUAAUUCGAUGCAACGCGAAAAACCUUACCUACCCUUGACAUGUACGGAAGCCACGAGAGAUCGAGGUGUGCUCGAAAGAGAGCCGUAACACAGGUGCUGCAUGGCUGUCGUCAGCUCGUGUCGUGAGAUGUUGGGUUAAGUCCCGCAACGAGCGCAACCCUUGUCAUUAUUGCUACAUUCAGUUGAGCACUCUAAUGAGACUGCCGGUGACAAACCGGAGGAAGGUGGGGAUGACGUCAAGUCCUCAUGGCCCUUAUGGGUAGGGCUUCACACGUCAUACAAUGGUACAUACAGAGGGCCGCCAACCCGCGAGGGGGAGCUAAUCCCAGAAAGUGUAUCGUAGUCCGGAUCGCAUUCUGCAACUCGACUGCGUGACGUUGGAAUCGCUAGUAAUCGCGGAUCAGCUUGGCUCGCGGUGUAUCCCUUUCCCUGGUGUUGUACACUCCGCCGUUCACACCAUGGGGAGCGGGUUUUACCCUAAGUAGGUAGCUUAACCGCAAGGAGGCCGCUUACCACGGUAUGAUUCCUGACUGGGGUGAAUUCCUACAACGG
Molecule: ribosomal RNA, 1362 nt
Filed under: Massilia sp.
Lineage: Bacteria; Pseudomonadati; Pseudomonadota; Betaproteobacteria; Burkholderiales; Oxalobacteraceae
Description: bacterial SSU rRNA
Rfam family: Bacterial small subunit ribosomal RNA
Source: RNAcentral